This 234-nucleotide unclassified non-coding RNA is filed under the name Ascomycota sp. RNAcentral's name for it is "partial contains small subunit ribosomal RNA, internal transcribed spacer 1, and 5.8S ribosomal RNA". The stretch from base 1 to 47 matches the Rfam family "Eukaryotic small subunit ribosomal RNA", at positions 1785 to 1831 of the family's 1831-position model. Lineage: Eukaryota; Fungi; Ascomycota. The record is from RNAcentral.
AAAGUCGUAACAAGGUCUCCGUUGGUGAACCAGCGGAGGGAUCAUUACAGAGUGUCAAAACUCCCAAACCCCUGUGAACAUACCACUGUUGCUUCGGCGGGUACGCCCCGGGCGCCUCAGCGUGCCCCGGAACCAGGCGCCCGCCGGGGGACCAUCAACUCUUGUCUUUGCCGUACCGUCUGAGUGGACUCAUACAAUGAAUCAAAACUUUCAACAACGGAUCUCUUGGCUCUG